This 339-nucleotide ribosomal RNA is filed under the name Triticum aestivum (bread wheat). RNAcentral describes it as "partial small subunit ribosomal RNA". Lineage: Eukaryota; Viridiplantae; Streptophyta; Magnoliopsida; Poales; Poaceae. The record is from RNAcentral.
AUGGAGCAACAUGAAGACCCAGCGGUGCUGCUGCUGCCUGAAGACGUGCUCGCGGACGCCCUCCGCCGACUUCCUCCACAUGGUCUUGCCGCGCCCCGCUGCAUUUGCAAGGCGUGGCGGGGCGUCAUCAACACGCACAGCCUGCUGCAGCUAGACCUCCCACACUCGAUGGACAGCAUCAUCCUAAAUUUGUACGAUCUCAGGUCGUCGCGGUUUCUCUCCCGCCCAUCCAGGGGGCAGCGACCUCAGCCAACCUCGACCAUGCCGUCUCCGGCAAGCUGGGCCACCUCCGCGAUCCAACCAUCUACGUCAGUGAUCAUUGCAACGGCCUUCUUGUAG